AGCUCUUGUUCCUCUACACUCUUGAACUAUUAAGUGAGAUUAAGUGCUCAGGGAGUGGAGUUAUUUAACCUCUCUCAUAUUAUAAAUUCAUCCAACAACAACUGCAAUGGUGUAUUAAGUGUAUUUAAAAACAUAAUAAAACACUUUACCUUCUGUUUUCAGAACUGCAGUGCAAGAUCAGCAUUUUACCCUGGGUAGUGAUAAGAAAGAGCUUUUGAACACCCAUUACACUGCACAAGUGUGUGGGGAACUGCUCCUCAUUAAUUUAGAGUGGAGGGAAUUUUUGAACCCUGGAAGACAGACUAGGUAUGAUUGGAAGAACUGACCCAUCGAGGAGAUGGUUGUGCUUAUCAGAGAAGGACAGAAUAAUGAAGUUCUUCAGAAUGGGCUUCUGGAGACAAGAGAUAAAGAAGCAUCAAUCACUGGCAGAAAGACAAACUGAAACAGAGAGGUGAUCUUACCAUAUGAUAUGACGUUUUGUAGCAAUAUUAUAAAUACUGUAAGAAAUUUCAA
Molecule: long non-coding RNA, 513 nt
Organism: Pseudopipra pipra
Lineage: Eukaryota; Metazoa; Chordata; Aves; Passeriformes; Pipridae
Exons: 2
Source: RefSeq, a predicted model, not a curated record